GACGAACGCUGGCGGCGUGCCUAACACAUGCAAGUCGAGCGAUGAAGUUCUUCGGAACGGAUUAGCGGCGGACGGGUGAGUAACACGUGGGUAACCUACCUUGUAGAGGGGGAUAGCCUUCCGAAAGGAAGAUUAAUACCGCAUAACAUCUUUUUAUCGCAUGGUAGAAAGAUCAAAGGAGUAAUCCGCUACAAGAUGGACCCGCGGCGCAUUAGCUAGUUGGUGAGGUAACGGCUCACCAAGGCGACGAUGCGUAGCCGACCUGAGAGGGUGAUCGGCCACAUUGGAACUGAGACACGGUCCAGACUCCUACGAGAGGCAGCAGUGGGGAAUAUUGCGCAAUGGGGGAAACCCUGACGCAGCAACGCCGCGUGAAUGAAGAAGGCCUUAGGGUUGUAAAGUUCUGUUUACGGGGACGAUAAUGACGGUACCCGUGGAGGAAGCCACGGCUAACUACGUGCCAGCCGCCGCCGUAA
RNAcentral lists this ribosomal RNA (476 nucleotides) under uncultured bacterium. RNAcentral's name for it is "partial 16S ribosomal RNA". It matches the Rfam family "Bacterial small subunit ribosomal RNA", at positions 28 to 523 of the family's 1533-position model. The record is from RNAcentral.